UGUGUGUGUGUGUGUAUAUGUGUGUGUGUGUGGUGUGUGUGUGUGUUUGUGUGUGUUUACACACACACACACACACACACACACACACACACACAUAUAUAUAUAUAUAUAUAUAUAUAUAUAUAUUAUAUAUAUAUAUAUAUAUAUGUAUAUAUACACAUAUAUAUGUGCACACAC
This 177-nucleotide small nucleolar RNA is filed under the name Penaeus monodon (black tiger shrimp). RNAcentral's name for it is "small nucleolar RNA SNORA23". It matches the Rfam family "Small nucleolar RNA SNORA23". Rfam says of the family: The members of this family belong to the H/ACA class of snoRNAs which are thought to guide the sites of modification of uridines to pseudouridines. This family includes human snoRNA ACA23 (SNORA23) and mouse snoMBI-1. Lineage: Eukaryota; Metazoa; Arthropoda; Malacostraca; Decapoda; Penaeidae. The record is from RNAcentral.